CACGUACUUCCUUCGUCCGAAAAUACAUGUUAUCAAGAUGAAUAAAAAAGGAUAUAUUUAAAUGUAUUUUAGUUCUAAAUAUAUUUAUUUUGAUGACAAUUAUUUUCAAACCGAGGGAGUACUCC
This is a non-coding RNA of Triticum urartu, 125 nucleotides long. The record is from Rfam. Lineage: Eukaryota; Viridiplantae; Streptophyta; Magnoliopsida; Poales; Poaceae.